AGAAUUCCAAAACGCAACUCAUCCCUUCAUUUCUCAAAAUCUCCAUCUCUCUAAAAACACAAGCUUCUAUUUUUCUCCUCUUUCUCUCUAGAAUUUUUCUUUCCUACUUCAUCUUUGUUCCAAACGAACACCGUCUAAACAAUCUGUGAGACAAGAUCAUCGUUUUCCACCGAUCAAUUUAGCGUUCUUCCUCUGGUGGUCAAGCACUUCCGAAAGUGAAAAGGGGCGUGCUUGAGGGUUUUCUUGAGCUAAAAAAAGGGGUUUUGUUUACUGCACUACUUGACUAGAGAAGCUGAUGAUGUACCCUUGGAACAAGCGUUGGAGAAUGAAGAAGAUACACCUAGCUCUUAGGAUUGUUCUUAGGCAUUUCCUUUAUUUUGAGAGACUUCUAUGUAUAUAAAGUUUUAAUUUUAUAGCCUCU
This is a long non-coding RNA of Vigna radiata var. radiata (mung bean), 421 nucleotides long. RefSeq lists it as uncharacterized. The record is from RefSeq and is a predicted model, not a curated record. NCBI's taxonomy places the organism in Eukaryota, Viridiplantae, Streptophyta, Magnoliopsida, Fabales, Fabaceae. The transcript is spliced from 3 exons.